CGAAUUCGCCCUUCCUACGGGAGGCAGCAGUGGGGAAUAUUGCACAAUGGGCGCAAGCCUGAUGCAGCGACGCCGCGUGAGGGAUGACGGCCUUCGGGUUGUAAACCUCUUUCAGUAGGGAAGAAGCGUAAGUGACGGUACCUGCAGAAGAAGCGCCGGCUAACUACGUGCCAGCAGCCGCGGUAAUAAGGGCGAAUUCGGAGC
RNAcentral lists this ribosomal RNA (204 nucleotides) under uncultured bacterium. RNAcentral's name for it is "partial 16S ribosomal RNA". It matches the Rfam family "Bacterial small subunit ribosomal RNA", at positions 325 to 540 of the family's 1533-position model. The record is from RNAcentral.